GGUUGUUGAAAUCAAAUUUAGGGACUUUACUGACGGGACUCUGGGCUGGCUGCUCUGUUCACUCGUCAGCGCAAGUGGCGUGACCAUGUAAUUGGGGCACGGGGCCGGCGCGGCGCGCUGCGGGCUUGCAGAAUUUUGUUUGUUUGUUUGGCCGCGCGCUGGCGCAGCCACGGGCCGCAGUUACUGGGGCGCGCUGUCGUAACAAGCCGCGCGGUGUGGCCUGCACAUUGGGGUAGAGGGGGGGUAGUCUUCCCAGAUGUUCUAGUUAGUUGUUUAGUAAAUUUGACUUCAAUAACGAGCUUUUGUUAUGGUAGGCGCGGCAGGGCGCGCGAAUUUAAGCGCAAGUGAGUAGGAAUUCAGGCUCACUCAGGCGGAGGCUAUGCGUCUCACCUGUGGUCACGAGUUGUUAGUUCGUUCGUGAUGUAGGAAUUCAGGCUCACUCAGGCGGAGGCUAUGCGUCUCACCUGUGGUCACGAGUUGUUAGUUCGUUCGUGAUGUAGGAAUUCAAGCUUUCGGGCGGAAGCUAUGGCCGACGCCAGAGGCCACGAGUCGUUUAAUUUAAGUUAGGUCAUAAUGUAGUCGUCAAGCUUUCGGGCGGAGGCUAUGGCCCUCGUCAGGGGUCACGCGUCAUAGUUUUUAAAAUGUAAUGUUCGUUCGGGAUUUCAAGGGCAGGAGAGGCCCCUACGUUAUUUUUUUAAAGUAAUCGAUCAAGAAAGGCUUUUCGGAAAAUGUGAGUAUGGACUUAUCUUUGUUUUAAUUUUAAGUAUUAAUUAUGAUUUGAGGUAUUCGGAAGGACUAGGGAAGUGUUUAGUGAAGUUCUCUCAUUCUCUCUCUUGUAAGGUCGUUCGUUCAAUCGUUAAGGAAGUAAAGAGAUUAUUGUUUUAAAUUGUAAUCCCGCUAUUUAAAUGUUCUUUAAAAUGAUGUUGAGUAUUUGACUUUAAGAAUAAAAUAAUUUUAAUUAAGUAUUAUGUUAUUUUGCAAAAUCUCCUUAGUUCAGCUCUCACCAGACAUCCUGUACGGGAUGACGAACCUAUGAUCCUAGGUACAGUAAAGUAUUUUAUGAAGUUAAGACUAGUUGAUGCCAAGCGAGUUGUUUCUAUGUAAAGAGCUACGAUUCUCGCCCCCCCCCCCCCCUCUGAAGGUGGAUCGUGACAGAAAUGGUAGAGUUCGCCGGAUAGGUUCUAUUUCUGGAGAGAGAGAGAGGUAGAUUUUUAUGUUUAUUAUUAAGUUAGUUUCAGCUUCUGAUAGCAGGUUAUUAAGAGUUUACUUGAGGAGAGGAUUACGGAAUUUUAGUCUAUAGUGGAGGAAGUCUUUGAGAUUUUUUUUUGACGUAACAUAUGUUUAUUUGAGUAUACUUGUAAGGAUAAAGUUUAUAGUGAUAAGUUGUUUUAAGUCGUUGAGUUUAUCAGGGAUUUUUACGUGAGGAGAAUACGUUAUAAUUUAAAUGAUUAAUAGAGAUAAUGCAAGUGGUUUAAUUUAAUUGAAAUUAAUUUUAAGAUUGUAGGUUAAGAGAGUUAAAAUUUAAAAUAAAGUUUUUUUCGUAAAUAGGAAUUAUUUUCAAGUGAAGUUUGUUUUGCUGUCGUGCGCGUAGGAGACGAGACGUACGAAUUAAAUCAGUCGAGGGAAGGAUAAACGUUAGAAAGGAAUUAAAGAGAAAACGAGAGUUUAUGUAAAAGAGAGUUAUAGAAUUUAUAGUGAUGUUUUGUUUUAAUUAGAAAAAUGUUGAGAGUUGUUUCAGAACGACACGUCAGUGGACGUGGCAGAAUGAACACGAGACGGGGAGGUGCUGAGACCUAGCGGAGAACGGAGGAACCGCAAGCGAGGGUUGGCGCACCUGAUGGAAUUCGGUGACGUCACGGGCUCAUAAGGAGACGUGGACAGGCCGUGACCUUGUUUUGAUCAGCUGUACGGUAACUUAGCGAUAAGAAAAUAGACUAUUGGUUAAAUAAAUUUAAAUUUAAGUGUGUUUUAGAAGAAGAGGAACUUUCAGUAUAUUCCUUAAGAUGAGCUGAGCAGCAGUCCAGUUUACAAGAUGACAAGAGUUCGAGAGACAAGAUACAAGAUCACUGAAACAAGAGCCAAGACUGAAGAUUCAAGAGAAGAGAAAGCUGGCAGCCAUGGACUUACAAGUGGAGAUUAAUAAGGUCAUGUAAAGUUUUAUUUUUUUAUGGAAGACAGUAACUGUUUUUUUUUUGUUAUAAACAUUAUUUACAGAACUUUUUAGGUUAUAGUAAUGUAAUGGAACUAGUGAGUUGUGGUAGCUGUCAAAAAGAACUAAUACCUUAAGUUUAAUUUUUAAAGUUAAUUUUCUUAAUUUACAGAGGGAUUAGUAGUUUUUUUUAAAACCUUAUUUAGGUUGGAAUUUAAAUACAAUAGCUUAUUAUAAAUGUGUACGAACAGUUCAAGUUCACAGUACUGAUAGGUAGGUCAGAUGAUCUUAUUGAUUUUGAUGAUUUGUUGUUUUGAGUUGAUUUUUAAGUGUUGUGAAUUAGACAAUGAAAUAGUUCUGAAAACUUAAAUUAUUUCAAGCUAAGAAAUAGUAAAGUUAAUUGUAACUCAAAGGACACCAGAAUUUAAUUUUUUUUGAAUUAGUAAUGUUUGAAAAUUUUAUACUUUACAAGAAAGGUUAUAAACAAACAGAUCGGAUGGAACAAGGAUGCAGUAAAUCACAAUUUCAUUUAGAAUUAUUGAUUAGCUUUUGAGGUUAUGAAGUAAAAGUAAUUAUAGUUUAAAAGUUUGAAUAAAAAAAAAUGUUUUUUUUUUUAAUUUGUUUGAAAUAGAAAGUUUAAAAGUUAAUUAGUCAUGAUCUAGGUGGGUGAUGGGGUGGGAAUUGGCCACUCUUUUUCCCUAUAACCUCCCUAACAUGGCCUUCUAUUACAACUAACAGAAAUAAAGAAGAAGAAAAAUGAAGAAUUAUUAGUUAGAAUGUUUCUUUCAUGAAGAUACCUGAUGAACUUUUACUGUUUGGAAGAAUAGAAGCAAGGUUAGUCAGAUAUUUUUACUCAGAAGAAGAAGAAGAUAAAGCAGUUUUAUGACUCGACAAGCCAGAGAUUGGUGUUUCCCCUCUGCGCUUCUAUUGACUACGUUGUUUACUCUCAUGGGAUAGCUGGUUCGGCACCAUGGAGAGAGAUUGGUGGGCAUUGUGGUUGCCCCCAGAAGAAAAGAAGAGUAGAAGAGGUUAUGGGUGGGUCAUGUGAACUGACCUUCAACCCAGUUACUUCGUGGGGACUAUUUGCUGUAUAGAGAAGAUCAAGACUCAAGAGUUAGGGAAAAUCAUUGGAGGUCAUGUUUCCCUUCCUUAAGUUUUUCCUAUCAAAUUAUUUGCCUGAUUAGAUUAUGCUAAGGGUGGGAUACUUUAUGUUAGCAGUUGAAUUAAUUAAUUUUAUUUUUUUGUGUGUUUGCAUCCUUGCCCAUCGAUUGCAGUUUAGUAGUUAGUUUUGUAUUUGUCAGGCGUGAUGGUAAUGCCUGUUGAUGAUGUUUCAGAAUUGUAAUCUGUUCGUGAUGAGGAUGGCACAACUCCGAAGCAGAUGUGGGGAGAAGUUGUGAGCUGCCCUGGAAGCCAGUCCAGUAGCUGUUGGAGUUGAGUGGUGUUUGCUGAUGGCCAGCCCAGGGAGCUACUCUUCUCGACAACACUGACUUCGAGGAGUUGCACCAACCUUCACGAGAUAAGAGUUUAAUUAAUUGAAACACUGUAAGGACACUUAAUUUUUUUUGAAGAACGAAAGAAGUAUGGUAAUAAACGGAAACCGAAAAAAAAAAAUAAUAAUAAUUAUCAAGAAUUUGCACAUUGUUUAACGAAUACUGAGAAACUAAGAACAGUAAUUUAAUUUGUAAAGAGAGCUUCACUAACAGAACAAUUUUUUUAGAAUUGAGAACUCGAGCCUCUGAAGGUUCCUGUGAGAACAAACCAGAUAAAAGUUUUACAUUUAAUUUUAUGAAUACUUGUUGUUUUAAAAUAAAUCUUAUGCAGAAUCUAGAUGUAUGUUCAGACAGCAAGGAACUAAGAAAAUUAUUAUUUUUGUGAAAUGAGGAAUUUAUAGUUAUGGUUUAAUGGAAAAAGACAAUUUGUAAUUUUGAGGUAGCUCGAUGGGGCUCGAGCUCUGUGAGGGGAGGGUUAUGUCGCGGGUUGAAAUUUUGCAGGGUUGUUGAAAUCAAAUUUAGGGACUUUACUGACGGGACUCUGGGCUGGCUGCUCUGUUCACUCGUCAGCGCAAGUGGCGUGACCAUGUAAUUGGGGCACGGGGCCGGCGCGGCGCGCUGCGGGCUUGCAGAAUUUUGUUUGUUUGUUUGGCCGCGCGCUGGCGCAGCCACGGGCCGCAGUUACUGGGGCGCGCUGUCGUAACAAGCCGCGCGGUGUGGCCUGCACAUUGGGGUAGAGGGGGGGUAGUCUUCCCAGAUGUUCUAGUUAGUUGUUUAGUAAAUUUGACUUCAAUAACGAGCUUUUGUUAUGGUAGGCGCGGCAGGGCGCGCGAAUUUAAGCGCAAGUGAGUAGGAAUUCAGGCUCACUCAGGCGGAGGCUAUGCGUCUCACCUGUGGUCACGAGUUGUUAGUUCGUUCGUGAUGUAGGAAUUCAGGCUCACUCAGGCGGAGGCUAUGCGUCUCACCUGUGGUCACGAGUUGUUAGUUCGUUCGUGAUGUAGGAAUUCAAGCUUUCGGGCGGAAGCUAUGGCCGACGCCAGAGGCCACGAGUCGUUUAAUUUAAGUUAGGUCAUAAUGUAGUCGUCAAGCUUUCGGGCGGAGGCUAUGGCCCUCGUCAGGGGUCACGCGUCAUAGUUUUUAAAAUGUAAUGUUCGUUCGGGAUUUCAAGGGCAGGAGAGGCCCCUACGUUAUUUUUUUAAAGUAAUCGAUCAAGAAAGGCUUUUCGGAAAAUGUGAGUAUGGACUUAUCUUUGUUUUAAUUUUAAGUAUUAAUUAUGAUUUGAGGUAUUCGGAAGGACUAGGGAAGUGUUUAGUGAAGUUCUCUCAUUCUCUCUCUUGUAAGGUCGUUCGUUCAAUCGUUAAGGAAGUAAAGAGAUUAUUGUUUUAAAUUGUAAUCCCGCUAUUUAAAUGUUCUUUAAAAUGAUGUUGAGUAUUUGACUUUAAGAAUAAAAUAAUUUUAAUUAA
This is a long non-coding RNA of Bacillus rossius redtenbacheri, 5102 nucleotides long. RefSeq lists it as uncharacterized. The transcript is spliced from 2 exons. NCBI's taxonomy places the organism in Eukaryota, Metazoa, Arthropoda, Insecta, Phasmatodea, Bacillidae. The record is from RefSeq and is a predicted model, not a curated record.